RNAcentral lists this long non-coding RNA (485 nucleotides) under Homo sapiens (human). Its description in RNAcentral is "HSALNT0272154". Lineage: Eukaryota; Metazoa; Chordata; Mammalia; Primates; Hominidae. The record is from RNAcentral.
GGAACAUAUUUCAACUAAAUAUUUAAGUGAAGACAAAAUCCCUACUACAAAACCUCCAAAUACUCUAACAAUGAUGAUUCUAUCAGGCCUACUCAGAACUACAGGUUUUCCCCACAUCUUGAUUUCAAAGCAUACUUUCUGUGACGUAUCUUCAUUUAAUCACUUUUAGAAUAAUUGAACAAGAAAAUAGGUAAGGAAUUAAAAUAAAUUUUAAAAUGGCAGUCCCAUUCUUACUGACAUAAAUUUAUUAAGAUCAAUGUUCCUUUUUGCAUAGAUCUUCCCAUUCUGUUUCAAUAACACCAGCAAGCAUAAACAGAUUUGAAAAGCUACGCAGCCACAGAAAACAGGUUCAGCAUGACAGACAGAUCUAGCUCAAAAGAGGUGCUCAGUGUCAAGCUCUUUUCUAAAAACCUCAAAGCUUGUUUUGUCUGCUGUUGCUUUCAAAGAACAAGCACAACAAAAUUGUUUUGAGGAAGUCUCUAGAU